Molecule: ribosomal RNA, 642 nt
Filed under: Triticum aestivum (bread wheat)
Lineage: Eukaryota; Viridiplantae; Streptophyta; Magnoliopsida; Poales; Poaceae
Description: partial small subunit ribosomal RNA
Source: RNAcentral
AUGCCAGAUAUUAUAUACUUCGGCCAGUCCGGCUUUAUUAGAGGGAGAGGUAUCGCUGAUAACUUCCUCCAUGCCGCCGACAUCGUCCAGUCGUGUUUCAAAAGGAAAAAAUCUUCUAUCGUCCUUAAACUGGACUUUCAUAAAGCCUUUGAUUCUGUCUCCUCGGACGCCCUGACCGCCAUCCUACGUGCCAAAGGCUUUCCUUUGCAAUGGGAUGGCUGGAUCCGAUCUCUCAACGAUACCGCAAACUCCGCCAUCUUGCUAAAUGGACGCCCCGGUCCGUGGUUACCCUGCAAAUGUGGUCUUAGGCAAGGGGAUUCCCUCUCCCAGUACCUUUUCCUGGUGAUUGCCGACGUUCUUCAGCGUAUGAUCAUUCACGCUUCUCAUUCUGGACUGCUCUCUCACCCUCUAGACGAUAACCACCCAUGCCCGGUACUGCAAUACACCGAUGACACGCUGAUCGUGCUGCCGGCGAUCGCAGAGCAGUUGCACCACCUCAAGCAGUUGUUGUCUCAAUUCUCCGCGGCCACUGGCCUCACUAUUAAUUUCCACAAAAGCACGUUCGCCCCUAUCCACGUAGAGCCGGAAACCUCCCGUACUCUUGCGGCGAUCCUCAGUUGCGUUGUCGCCAGUUUCCCGUAG